AAUAAGUGCAGUUUUGCACUAUUCACGUUCAACGUUUGACCGUCCGUCUUAUUUAAAAAAUUUAUGAAAAAAUUAAAAACAUUUAGUCACACAUAAAGUACUAUUCAUGUUUUAUCAUCUAAUAGCAAUAAAAAUACCAAUCAUAAAAAAUUUUCAAAUAAGACGGACGGUCAAACGUUGAAGAUGAAUAGUGCAAAACUGCACUUAUU
Molecule: microRNA precursor, 209 nt
Filed under: Oryza nivara
Lineage: Eukaryota; Viridiplantae; Streptophyta; Magnoliopsida; Poales; Poaceae
Description: MIR812 microRNA precursor family
Rfam family: MIR812 microRNA precursor family
Source: Rfam by way of RNAcentral